This is a long non-coding RNA of Schistocerca serialis cubense, 768 nucleotides long. RefSeq lists it as uncharacterized. The record is from RefSeq and is a predicted model, not a curated record. NCBI's taxonomy places the organism in Eukaryota, Metazoa, Arthropoda, Insecta, Orthoptera, Acrididae. The transcript is spliced from 3 exons.
CUUCUUUUCAAGUAGCUUUCCUUCGUAUGUACUCUGACAAGUCAAUAUCACAACGCUGGAGCAGGAGGAGGUUACUCGUGGCAACGGGUUUAUGAUCACGUCGCAAGAUGGCGUUUGCGAGGGAUCGUAAUGCCUGUUGCCGCGGGGAGCACAAGGUGUCAAGUUCCUGAAUCCCUGACGUCACAAACGGUGGGGAGGGACUGAAGGACGAUGAGAGAGCCAAACUAGAGUCGGAGUGACUAGCGAAGCGGAGUGAGUGUAUCGGUGUUUGUUAUUCAUGUUUGAUCUCGAUGCAACGAGUGCAAGAAGAUGAACAUGUGCAUACCAAUGUGGAAAUGAGUACCUGAAAGUGCGAAAAACGUUUCGCACAUGUGCGACAAUUUAGAAACAGAUGCAAAGUGCACGAAAAUGUGGGGAAACCCCCACCUGUGCUGGAAUCUCUGAUAUGUGGUAGUUCCUCUCAAAACGUUUACUUUUUAAUUGUUAUGAUCUGUGAUUGCCGGUGGUAGCAGAGGUUUCCUCACCUAAUUUUUUGCUGUGUUGGUGUAUCCUUGGACCGUAACUUUCAUCCUGCCGACUCCCGUUACGUCAAACCGUGACAUGCCGCGAAGGAAAGGCCACGGAGUGUCCCCCGCAAAACGAGCCCAAGUAAAUAAGGAUGAUCAUCAAGCAAAAAAGAAAUCAGUGGAGACUAAUGCGGAGGCUGUGGUCGCGGAACCCCGGGCACCUAACGGCAGCCACGAGGCCGUGUCCCCAGCUCAGAGGGAC